UUUAAGUGCAGUUGUAGGCUCCUAUGUUCAAUGUUUAACCAUCCGUCUUAAUUAAAAUUUUCUAUGAUUAGUAUGUUUAUUGUUAUUAGAUGAUAAAAUAUAAUAGUCUUUAUGCAUGAUUUUUUUAAAAAAAUAUAAAAUUUUUAAAUAAGACGACCGAUCAAAAUGUUAAAAAAAACCACUGUACUUAAG
RNAcentral lists this microRNA precursor (192 nucleotides) under Oryza meridionalis. RNAcentral's name for it is "MIR812 microRNA precursor family". It matches the Rfam family "MIR812 microRNA precursor family". The record is from Rfam by way of RNAcentral. Lineage: Eukaryota; Viridiplantae; Streptophyta; Magnoliopsida; Poales; Poaceae.